UUUCUUUUUCCUUCAUUUGUGUUCAUGAUUUUUUUUAGGAGACGAAACGAGAGAAAAGUCACACCGCCACGGACCAGGGUGGCAACGAAAAGAAAGAAGGAAACGAAUCCAGAGGUCAUUACACUACGAUCCCUUUGAUGGAGGAGAGGCCGAGUUCAUUGGAUUCCGGGGUAA
This is a long non-coding RNA of Penaeus vannamei (Pacific white shrimp), 174 nucleotides long. RefSeq lists it as uncharacterized. The record is from RefSeq and is a predicted model, not a curated record. NCBI's taxonomy places the organism in Eukaryota, Metazoa, Arthropoda, Malacostraca, Decapoda, Penaeidae.